UUUGAUCCUGGCUCAGGAUUAACGCUAGCGGCAUGCCUAAUACAUGCAAGUCGAACGAAAGUAGCAAUACUUUAGUGGCGAACGGGUGAGUAACACGUAUCUAACCUACCAUUUAGUGAGGAAUAACUKUUGGAAACAACAGCUAAUACCGCAUAUGUUAUUUAUUUGCAAUGAUAAAUAAUGAAAGGAGCAUUUGCUUCGCUAAUUGAUGGGGAUGCGGCGCAUUAACUAGUUGGUAAGGUAAUGGCUUACCAAGGUAACGAUGCGUAGCCGAUCUGAGAGGAUGAACGGCCACAUUGGGACUGAGACACGGCCCAAACUUCUACGGAAGGCAGCAGUAGGGAAUUUUUCACAAUGGGCGAAAGCCUGAUGGAGCAAUGCCGCGUGACUGAUGAAGGUCUUCGGAUUGUAAAGGUCUGUUGUAAGAGAAGAAGUGCUAGAAUAGGAAAUAAUUUUAGUAUCGACCAUACCUUACCAGAAAGCCACGGC
Molecule: ribosomal RNA, 489 nt
Filed under: Spiroplasma endosymbiont of Heliconius timareta
Lineage: Bacteria; Bacillati; Mycoplasmatota; Mollicutes; Entomoplasmatales; Spiroplasmataceae
Description: bacterial SSU rRNA
Rfam family: Bacterial small subunit ribosomal RNA
Source: RNAcentral